GAGAGGACUGCGACGCCUUUUUUUUUUAAGGCGAUAGUCAAGCCUUGGAAAUGGGAAAAUCGGCUUCUGCGGCGGAGGGUGUGACUUUGCCGCGCGGGCUUCAUGUGACCCGUUUGCUCGCGCGCGGGCGGACGCGGGCGUCGGUUUCGGGGUCCCCCCGGCAGCCGGCAGGCACGUCCCCCGAGGAACAGCGACCAGGGACUAGGUGAAGUUCAGUGCCAGCCCGGAGGCUCCUUUCUUUCCUCGCCCCACCCCCUCCUCCGCUCCCCGCCCUCCGCCCGCUUCCCAGCUCCCCGAGGUUAAGGUCACGCGGACAGAGCUGGGAUUCGAACCGCGGUCCUCCACACCUCAAAGCCAAGGCUUGGCCCCUAACGAGGAGCGUAGUGACCUCGCCCGUGGUUCCUCCGAGUAAAGCUCCUGGGAUAGGUACCGUUCUCCAAAGACCUUUAAAGAGAACCCUAUUCGAAUGUCUUCAGCAGAACCGAGCAAAAGCUACCACCUGUGGGGUUCAAGGAGAAUGAGCACUGUCUGGGUUUGCCUUGACAUCCAGAGUUCAAGUCCUCAUUACAGGAGCAAGAGGGGGUCCUUAGAAGAAUCAGAAAUGUGACAGCCAUGACUGCUGCCUUGUCCCUGCCCAGAUAGGCUGGCAAACCAGCCACUGGGUCCUCUGACCCUCACUCUGCGUUUCCUCCUGCAGUGCUUCCCACAGUAAAACUCACCAAGUCUUGAUUUGGUUCCAUGCAGUUGCUUGGAUUCUGUUCUCUGACUGCAUCGAGGUCCCCUGGA
Molecule: long non-coding RNA, 786 nt
Organism: Mustela erminea (ermine)
Lineage: Eukaryota; Metazoa; Chordata; Mammalia; Carnivora; Mustelidae
Exons: 3
Source: RefSeq, a predicted model, not a curated record